CACGAGCAUGGAUAGCAUAGGUCCUUGUAGAUGCUUUAACAUCUGGUCUCAUUGCUGAACCUCUAGAUGCACCUCUACCUGCCCUUAUUCUCGAACUUCUCUGUGGUCUACCUCUAACAGGGGCAUUGCUUGAUCUUACACUCGAUAUUACUUCUCUUUUAACCAUCUCAGGACACUCCCGAAUGAAAUGAUCCGAUGCACCACAUCAGAAACAACCAGCCUUAAUUGCUCGAUAUUGACUUGGAUGAUGUCGACCACAUUAAGGACUCUUGGGUCUAUCAGGC
Molecule: long non-coding RNA, 284 nt
Filed under: Gossypium barbadense (sea-island cotton)
Lineage: Eukaryota; Viridiplantae; Streptophyta; Magnoliopsida; Malvales; Malvaceae
Description: long non-coding RNA (GBAR_LNC023389)
Source: RNAcentral